RNAcentral lists this ribosomal RNA (482 nucleotides) under uncultured bacterium. Its description in RNAcentral is "partial 16S ribosomal RNA". It matches the Rfam family "Bacterial small subunit ribosomal RNA", at positions 30 to 507 of the family's 1533-position model. The record is from RNAcentral.
AUUGAACGCUGGCGGCAUGCUUUACACAUGCAAGUCGAACGGUAACAGGCCGCAAGGUGCUGACGAGUGGCGAACGGGUGAGUAAUGCAUCGGAACGUGCCCAGUCGUGGGGGAUAACUACUCGAAAGAGUAGCUAAUACCGCAUACGAUCUAUGGAUGAAAGCGGGGGACCGUAAGGCCUCGCGCGAUUGGAGCGGCCGAUGUCAGAUUAGGUAGUUGGUGGGGUAAAGGCUCACCAAGCCAACGAUCUGUAGCUGGUCUGAGAGGACAACCAGCCACACUGGGAGUGAGACACGGCCCAGACUCCUACGGGAGGCAGCAGUGGGGAAUUUUGGACAAUGGGCGCAAGCCUGAUCCAGCAAUGCCGCGUGCAGGAAGAAGGCCUUCGGGUUGUAAACUGCUUUUGUACGGAACGAAACGGCUCUGGUUAAUACCCGGGGCUAAUGACGGUACCGUAAGAAUAAGCACCGGCUAACUACGUG